Dipodomys spectabilis (banner-tailed kangaroo rat) is the source of this 110-nucleotide long non-coding RNA. RefSeq lists it as uncharacterized. The record is from RefSeq and is a predicted model, not a curated record. The transcript has 2 exons. Lineage: Eukaryota; Metazoa; Chordata; Mammalia; Rodentia; Heteromyidae.
GUUACAUAAGUUUGGAAACUCUGCACCCGUGUGAGUAUAUAUAUUACUACUUUUAUUUAUUCCUCCAUAUAUAUACUUUUAGCAAUAAAGCAGCAUGGAUUGAGGGUGCA